UGGCCGUCUUGCGCACUGCGGCGGCGCCGCCGCUGACACCGGGCAGGUUGACGAGUGCGGCGUCGACCUCGCCGAGUUCGAUGCGCCGGCCGCCGACC
This 98-nucleotide transfer RNA is filed under the name Mycobacteroides abscessus subsp. abscessus. Its description in RNAcentral is "tRNA-???(gaca)". Lineage: Bacteria; Bacillati; Actinomycetota; Actinomycetes; Mycobacteriales; Mycobacteriaceae. The record is from RNAcentral.